Molecule: ribosomal RNA, 301 nt
Filed under: uncultured bacterium
Lineage: Bacteria
Description: partial 16S ribosomal RNA
Rfam family: Bacterial small subunit ribosomal RNA
Source: RNAcentral
CAGUAGCCGCGGGAAUACGAAGGGGGCUAGCGUUGCUCGGAAUGACUGGGCGUAAAGGGCGCGUAGGCGGCGAUCAAAGUCAGGCGUGAAAUUCCUGGGCUCAACCUGGGGGCUGCGUUUGAUACUUGAUUGCUAGAGUGGGGAAGAGGGUUGUGGAAUUCCCAGUGUAGAGGUGAAAUUCGUAGAUAUUGGGAAGAACACCGGUGGCGAAGGCGGCGACCUGGUCCUUUACUGACGCUGAGGCGCGAAAGCGUGGGGAGCAAACAGGAUUAGAUACCCGGGUAGUCCCUGUCUCUUAUAC